RNAcentral lists this ribosomal RNA (912 nucleotides) under Dothidea insculpta. Its description in RNAcentral is "LSU rRNA". It matches the Rfam family "Eukaryotic large subunit ribosomal RNA", at positions 38 to 964 of the family's 3401-position model. Lineage: Eukaryota; Fungi; Ascomycota; Dothideomycetes; Dothideales; Dothideaceae. The record is from RNAcentral.
GCAUAUCAAUAAGCGGAGGAAAAGAAACCAACAGGGAUUGCCCUAGUAACGGCGAGUGAAGCGGCAAUAGCUCAAAUUUGAAAGCUGGCUUAUGGCCCGCAUUGUAAUUUGUAGAGGAUGCUUUUAGGCAGCCGCCGGUCUAAGUUCCUUGGAACAGGACGUCAUAGAGGGUGAGAAUCCCGUAUGUGACCGGCUCUGGCACCUUAUGUAAAGCUCCUUCGACGAGUCGAGUUGUUUGGGAAUGCAGCUCUAAAUGGGAGGUAAAUUUCUUCUAAAGCUAAAUACUGGCGAGAGACCGAUAGCGCACAAGUAGAGUGAUCGAAAGAUGAAAAGCACUUUGGAAAGAGAGUUAAAAAGCACGUGAAAUUGUUGAAAGGGAAGCGCUUGCAAUCAGACUUGGACUUGGCUGUUCAACAGGUCUUCUGACCUGCCUAUUCAGUCUUGUCCAGGCCAGCAUCAGUUUCGGCGGCCGGAUAAAGGCCCUGGGAAUGUGGCUUCUCCUUCGGGGGAAGUGUUAUAGCCCAGGGUGUAAUACGGCCAGCUGGGACUGAGGUCCGCGCUUCGGCUAGGAUGCUGGCGUAAUGGUUGUAAGCGGCCCGUCUUGAAACACGGACCAAGGAGUCUAACAUCUAUGCGAGUGUUAGGGUGUCAAACCCUUACGCGUAAUGAAAGUGAACGGAGGUGAGAACCCGCAAGGGUGCAUCAUCGACCGAUCCUGAUGUCUUCGGAUGGAUUUGAGUAAGAGCAUAGCUGUUGGGACCCGAAAGAUGGUGAACUAUGCCUGAAUAGGGUGAAGCCAGAGGAAACUCUGGUGGAGGCUCGCAGCGGUUUCUGACGUGCAAAUCGAUCGUCAAAUUUGGGGGUAUAGGGGCGAAAGACUAAUCGAACCAUCUAGUAGCUGGUUCCUGCCGA